ACGGAGGGUGCAAGUGUUAAUCGGAAUUACUGGGCGUAAAGCGUAUGCAGGCGGUUUGUUAAGUAAGAUGUGAAAUCCCCGAGCUAAAACUGGGAAAUGCAUCUGAUACUGGCAAGUUUGAGUCUCGUAGAGGGGGAUAGAAUUCCAGGUGCGGCGGUGAAAUGCGUAGAGAUCUUGAGGAAUACCGGUGGCGAUGGCGGCCCCCUGGACGAAGACUGACGCUCAGUUGCGAAAGCGUAGAAAGCAAACAG
This 251-nucleotide ribosomal RNA is filed under the name uncultured prokaryote. RNAcentral's name for it is "partial 16S rRNA". It matches the Rfam family "Bacterial small subunit ribosomal RNA", at positions 525 to 775 of the family's 1533-position model. The record is from RNAcentral.